UUGGCAGUGAUUAUUUGCAUUUUACCAAUUGUUCCAACUGAAUUUUCCGGGUUGACAAAUGCAUUAUCGUUAAGUUUCAGCCUUGUAUGAGCCUU
RNAcentral lists this small nucleolar RNA (95 nucleotides) under Spathaspora passalidarum NRRL Y-27907. Lineage: Eukaryota; Fungi; Ascomycota; Pichiomycetes; Serinales; Debaryomycetaceae. The record is from RNAcentral.